Pseudopipra pipra is the source of this 2459-nucleotide long non-coding RNA. RefSeq lists it as uncharacterized. NCBI's taxonomy places the organism in Eukaryota, Metazoa, Chordata, Aves, Passeriformes, Pipridae. The record is from RefSeq and is a predicted model, not a curated record. The transcript has 5 exons.
CAAUAGUGGCAGGAAAUUUCUCAUUUACAUUCAAAUCCUGGGCUCCCCCCCCCUCUAAUCACCAUAGACUUACUAUCAGAGUAAGAAUGAAGAACCUGAGGCCCUGGCUGCAAAACAAGUGAAGGUGCCUUUCAUACUGAAGCUACAUCUAUGGUGUUAAGGCAGAGCACAUGACUUCCCAGAGGAGCCUUGCGAGGGUUGGUCAUGUUUGACAGUGGUGCCAAUAGGCUGCAAGGCUGAACAGUCUAUUUCUGUUUCCUGCUCCUGUCAACUUAGAUGCCUUCUGUUUUCCUGUUCUCUCUGAUUAUACCCUUUCUGAUCCCAUCCUGCCAACUCAACCAGCCAAAUUGGACUUGGGGAUGGUAUUUCCUUUUUCAUAACUGUUUUACUGUCUGCCUCUCUAUGUCUUGGCAGUUUUUCUCUCUGCAAAUCAGUGAAAGAAAGGAUGCUCACUUCUCUGGAAAGAACAAUGGCUUUCCUGAGAGUUUUGUGUUUUCAGCUUACAGGAAGGCAGAGAAACAGAAGGAAGAUUCCCUCAGAAACUGAUUUGUCCUGACAGGAUCAAGUGAUGCAGUUCCUUAGGGAGAGUUCCUGCAGAUCCCUAGCAAGCUGGCCCACCACUGCCAUCUCCAGGUGAGCUGGCCAUGUUUAACCAUCCACUUGACAAUGGGAGGAUUCCAGUCCUCAGGUUUGUCUCCUAGUGACCUUGUUUCCUUGGUAUGGUGAUCAGAGUGGAAAUGUUUUCUUGCUGAUGAUUUGUGCCUUUUUUUCUAAAUAUACACCUGGUUUAUCAUGAGCAAAUUCCUGAACUGGAAGCCAGGAUUAUCUGUGCACCAUUCUGGGAGGUCAUGGCAAAAGGCUCCCAUGAGCUCAUGUUCAAAGCUUUGUGAAGAGCUGAGUAGCUGGAGAAGCCAUAGCCUCUGUUUCCUCCUCAGGUUUCUCUGGCUUUGGUCCACCCCUGAAGGUAGCUCUGUCAACUGUGCUUCAGAAACGCAUACACAGAAAAGGUUUUUAAAAAGAGAACUUGCUGCUUGAUCAGGGAAUUGCAGUUUGUUCUAGCACUCAAAUGCUCAGAGACUAUUACCCCCAACAGAUUAUCUUGCAAUGAAAAGGUUUAAACAGCCAAACCACCUACGUUUGUGUAAAAAAGCAACAUAAAUUGAUCAGGCAGUUGUCAACUGGAUCUGAGAUGUGGGAUGAAAUAUGAGAGCUAAAUCGAAGUGUAAUUACCAAGAGUGUAAUAAUUAUUGAUGUGGCAAUCCAGGUUUUCAAAGAUGUUUGUUACUAAAAGAAAAUCUUCAGAUAUUUCAACAUCUCCCCUGUAACUUCUGUUCCUAGGAAUCUCUCAAGAAUUGCCCUAACUUGAUAAUUUGUCUUUAUUUGUCGCUCAUGUUACUUGCUGAAACAUCGAUGGCUCAUGAGCUACAAGUGAAACUCAUUGCUAAAUGAUCUUUUAUGUAUUCUGAGAUCUGGACAUUUAGGCAACAUGCUGUUUUUCACACCAGUGUCCCAGAGGAAUUCCUUUCAGACUGGUUGGGAUAUGGGAUGAGUUGGAGCACCCUGAGUAACUGAUUCCCAGCAUUAGGUCUGAUGCAACCUGUUCCCCUCCAAUUCUUUCUGUUGCCGUCUGGUAGCUACGUUGCUACAUUUCCCACUUUUGUAAAGUUGUAUCUUGCAAACACUUCCCUUAGUCAGAAGACAAACACUUCAGGCAUUGCUUUUAUGCCUUGCUUUUUCUUUUCGUUAUGGAAUUUCCUGCGAGGUGCUGCACUGGCCACAGUGAGAACACGACCAUGAGGAAUGGGUGCAUGAGAAUUUUCACCUUCUAAAAUGGAGAUUUGUGAUCCAGUGACUUCAACCUUUCCCUUUCAGGCUCAUCUCUUGUUGUAUUUGACUUGAAUCACAUGGAGGAGAAAGGCUAAGGACCAGCAGCAGAUGCAGGAACAUUACUUAAUAAAUUGCUAAUACAUCCUCAUUAACAAAGAAGCCCUUCCAGAGUGGAUAUUAAGACGAAGAGCUUUUGGCAUUUGUGCAGACUUAAGGGAACAUCUGUGUUUGUGAUGGCAGAAGAUUCAUUGUGUGAUAAUAGAAACAGAGCCUCAAAGGAAAAUAGUUUUGCUGAUAAAAAAAAAUUCUUGCCGAUAAACCAUUGUGCUGCUUGUUCUGCCCACCAUGAGCCUGGUCUACAUUGUAUCUAGAGAUAAUCAGCUGGAUUUGUUUUCCAGCCUAAGGAUAUUUUGUAUCUUCAUUAUGCACUCUCUACUUGGGGUUUGCAGACUUUACCAAGUAAUGUGACCCAGAACACCAAAACUUCUGUGAUGGAGAAAAGCAUGGGAAAUUCAGCUGCUCUGGUCCCAGCAGAGCUUGGAGCAGUGUAUUCUGUCCUGGCCAGUAUCACAGAGAUGCUGAUGGAAAGGCGGUGUUGGUGCUGACUAUAGGAAGGGUGUUAGGGGACUCUC